This is a long non-coding RNA of Meriones unguiculatus (Mongolian gerbil), 1124 nucleotides long. RefSeq lists it as uncharacterized. The record is from RefSeq and is a predicted model, not a curated record. Lineage: Eukaryota; Metazoa; Chordata; Mammalia; Rodentia; Muridae. The transcript is spliced from 3 exons.
AAUUCUCUUUUUAAUUCUCUCACUGGCUACACUUAGCAGCUUAGAGGGAGGAAAAUUCAUCCAAUUAAUUAAAGAAAAACUGCAAGAGAGAAAGAAGGCCUCCUGAAGUGGGGGUGAUCUCUGUCUCCACCCCCAAUGAGUUCAUCAACAUGAGAAUGAUUAUCGGAAGAAGAACUGGCCGGAGGUAAUCAUUAUCUCCCGGAUGCUUCGGUGCCUGCCCCGCUGACCUCAAGUAUUCCUUCUCUCUCCUGGCGUUUGAGAAGGGUGCUGACACAGCUCUGGCUGAAGCCCAGACCAUGCCUCGAAAAGACAAGAGAAACCUCGAAUGACCCUCAGCCCUCCAACACUGCCAUCCCCCUGAGAAAGCCCGCCCAACGAAGGGCUUCGGUUCUCAGUUCAGCACAAAGCUGCCGGAGAAGCAACUGAAGGAAGAAAUGGUUCAUUCUGGCUUACAUCCAAGGAAGAGUUCAUCAGGUAGUAGCAGCUUGAAGCAGUUGGCCGUGUGGUAUCCACAGUCCAGGGUUGGAAUGCAUGCUAGUGCUCAGACAGGCUUCUCCAUGGUGGAAGCCCAGGAUCCCAGCCCAAGCAAUGGUCCCACCCACAAUGAAGCUUCUAAAACGUGGUCCUCUGUGAGGCCUGGCAUCAGGAGAAAGUGAGUUCUACAGCACAGCUACCUGGAGGAUGAGAGGACCUUAAGGUGCUUUCAACCCCAAUUCAGAAAGGCCUUAGCAGCCGGCUUCCUGUGCUCAGCACCCUCUGAGGCCUGUGGGAGGAAGGGUGGAACAGAAGGAAGAACAGGCUCUGUGGUGGUUAUUUUUCUAUUGUCAGAAAAAUUGACAGCAUCUAGAAUCAGCUGGGAUGGGAGAGAUUGUCCAGAUCAGGUUGGCCUGUGGGCAUGUCUGUGGGGGAUUGUGUUCAUUACAGGAAUUGAGAUGGGAAGAACCACCCAUUGUGGGUGGCACCAUUCCCUAGGAAGGGAAUUCUGAACUGCAAAGGCCAAGAGAGAAGCUGGGCAGCAGCAUGCAUGCAUUAGUUUGUGGCCCCCUGCCCUUGAUUGUGGGUGUGAUAUGACUAACACAUUGGCUUGACCUCCCAGAAGUGAUGGACGGAAACCUGAAAUUGUG